CGGAGGUGGCAAGCGUUACUCGGAAUUAUUGGGUGUAAAGGGCAAGUAGGUGGCUUGGUAAGUGAGAGGUGAAAUACUCCGGCUCAAUCGGAGAACUGCCUUUCAUACUGCCUUGCUUGAGGAUGACAGGGGGAAAUGGAAUUCCAGGUGUAAGGGUGAAAUCUGUAGAUAUCUGGAAGAACACCAGCGGCGAAGGCGAUUUCCUGGGUCACUCCUGACACUGAAUUGCGAAAGCUAGGGGAGCAAACAGAAUUAGAUACUCUGGUAGUCCUAGCCGUAAACGAUGAGCACUAGGUGUUGGCUCCGUUAGGAGUCAGUGCCGCAGCUAACGCAUUAAGUGCUCCACCUGAGGACUACGGUCGCAAGGCUA
This 370-nucleotide ribosomal RNA is filed under the name uncultured organism. Its description in RNAcentral is "bacterial SSU rRNA". It matches the Rfam family "Bacterial small subunit ribosomal RNA", at positions 526 to 896 of the family's 1533-position model. The record is from RNAcentral.